GCUGGGAUAGCUCAGUUGGUAGAGCACACCCUUGGUAAGGGUGAGGUCGUCGGUUCAAUCCCGAUUCCCAGCU
RNAcentral lists this transfer RNA (73 nucleotides) under Elusimicrobiota bacterium. RNAcentral's name for it is "Elusimicrobia bacterium (activated sludge metagenome) tRNA-Thr". It matches the Rfam family "tRNA". Rfam says of the family: Transfer RNA (tRNA) molecules are approximately 80 nucleotides in length. The record is from RNAcentral. Lineage: Bacteria; Pseudomonadati; Elusimicrobiota.